AUUGAACGCUGGCGGCAGGCCUAACACAUGCAAGUCGAGCGGAUGAAGGGAGCUUGCUCCUGGAUUCAGCGGCGGGCGGGUGAGUAAUGCCUAGGAAUCUGCCUGGUAGUGGGGGAUAACGUCCGGAAACGGGCGCUAAUACCGCAUACGUCCUGAGGGAGAAAGUGGGGGAUCUUCGGACCUCACGCUAUCAGAUGAGCCUAGGUCGGAUUAGCUAGUUGGUGGGGUAAAGGCCUACCAAGGCGACGAUCCGUAACUGGUCUGAGAGGAUGAUCAGUCAAAUUGGAAUGGAGACAGGGCCCAACUCCCUAGGGAGGGAAGAGGUGGGAAAUUUGGGAAAAGGGGGAAAGGCCUGCUCCAGCCAGGCGGGGGGGGGAAAGAAGUGUUGGGGAUGGAAAACCCUUUUAAGUGGGGAGAAAGGGAAGAAAUUUAAACCUUUGCUUUUUGAAGGUACCCAAAAAAAAAAGCACGGCUAAAUUUGUG
This 483-nucleotide ribosomal RNA is filed under the name uncultured bacterium. RNAcentral describes it as "partial 16S ribosomal RNA". It matches the Rfam family "Bacterial small subunit ribosomal RNA", at positions 29 to 507 of the family's 1533-position model. The record is from RNAcentral.